Molecule: ribosomal RNA, 485 nt
Filed under: uncultured bacterium
Lineage: Bacteria
Description: partial 16S ribosomal RNA
Rfam family: Bacterial small subunit ribosomal RNA
Source: RNAcentral
AUUGAACGCUGGCGGCAGGCUUAACACAUGCAAGUCGAGCGGGGAAAGGUAGCUUGCUCCCUGACCUAGCGGCGGACGGGUGAGUAAUGCUUAGGAAUCUGCCUAUUAGUGGGGGACAACAUCUCGAAAGGGAUGCUAAUACCGCAUACGUCCUACGGGAGAAAGCAGGGGACCUUCGGGCCUUGCGCUAAUAGAUGAGCCUAAGUCGGAUUAGCUAGUUGGUGGGGUAAAGGCCUACCAAGGCGACGAUCUGUAGCGGGUCUGAGAGGAUGAUCCGCCACACUGGGACUGAGACACGGCCUAGACUCCUACGGGAGGCAGCAGUGGGGAAUAUUGGACAAUGGGGGGAAACCUGAUCCAGCCAUGCCGCGUGUGUGAAGAAGGCCUUUUGGUUGUAAAGCACUUUAAGCGAGGAGGAGGCUACCGAGAUUAAUACUCUUGGAUAGUGGACGUUACUCGCAGAAUAAGCACCGGCUAACUCUGUG